GGACGGACUGCAAACAAAAAAGCUGUCACCUGGACUUUUCUCGUCUGGGGAGAUGCGUCUUUAUACAUUACAUUAAAGUUUCCUCGUGUCUCUCAGGGUGGAUUUUCCUUUUGGGUCCAGUUUGAACCCCAAACAUUUUCCUUCCACAACACCAGGACACCGCCCCCCCCUCCCUCCCUCCCAAAGUUGUCGAACAAGGUUGAGCCACCCAACAGCAGAAAGUAAUUUGCAAGGCAUAUGAUAUGGAAACGAACAGGCGAUGAAUGGGACAAACUGAACAGUGAUGUUACAGGUAGUGAUGUUACAAUGCGCCUUUUUCUUUUACAAAUCAACUCAGGCACAAAGGUCAGACACGUUGCCUGGCACACAGGACGAUGAGGGAGGCAGGGAGGGAGGGUGCUUUAGAUGGAGUGAAAGGGUUGGUAAGAAACAUUCAGUUUGUGUGUGUGUGUGUGUGUGUGUGUGUUGGGUGUGUGCCCCCCGACAUUCACGCUCGCACCCUUCCCCCUUUAUGUCAAUAUUGGAUCAGACCAACGCACCGUGUGACAGGUGUCUGUGCUUGCCCUGAGGAUCCUCUCAGCAGUUCUCAUCCAUGAGGGGUGGAGAGACCCGUGAAGGGUGGAGAGAGAAAGGGCGGGGGGUGAUAGGAAGAAGCAGUGGAGGUAUAAAAGGUGUAUACCUGUCACAAAGAGCAUACAUUCAGUACGCGUAAAAGCUGAGCCAAACCUGACCGAGUUUGCGCAUUUUGACCUUUUCUGUCUCGUUUCUUCCAAAGGUUACCGGACAACACAGGAAGCCAGCUGUUACGUGCUCACCAACUCUCUCUCUCUCUCUCUGUCUUUGGAUCAUCGCCACACUGUGAAAGGUUCUUGUGACUUUUUCAUAUCCGUAUUUGCUUCACGUUGAGCCUCACGUACAAUACCUGAAGAUGAAGUUUUGUUCGUUCGGCUCGCGUUACGCAGGUACGGGUUGGCAACUGGAAAAGACACAAAGUUUAUUUUGACGGGAGCAUCACUGUUGUUAAUACUGUAGAGCCUCAUUUCAGACAAAUGAUGGGACGUUGCUUUUGGUUGAGCUGUUUCAAAAGAUUCCACCGGUGAAAUUUGUUUUAAUGGGUUUCAAAGGCGCUCAGUGGGAAAGGCCAGACUGCACCACAAGUGAGCCAAAUCAGUGUUAAAACCCUCAAAAAUGUAGAAUACUUUUCUAAGAAAAUACCUCAGCCAUGAAGUCAGGACCAUCUUUCUAGGACGACUUCAUCUCUAAAUAGUUUCAGUAACUGAAGCACCAGGCAUAAAGACUUUUUAACUGAAUAGAUUGUCUUAUUUGCAUACAGCUGGCAGCUGGCUCCAAGCCCUGUCAGCCAACUGACUACUGGAGUCACACUUAGUUGUUCAACGGGGAGGAAAUGAAGAAAAACUAAUGGAAAAGUAUACUCAUUUGACUCAAUUAAAAAGACUCUUUGUUAAA
Scatophagus argus is the source of this 1467-nucleotide long non-coding RNA. RefSeq lists it as uncharacterized. The transcript is spliced from 2 exons. NCBI's taxonomy places the organism in Eukaryota, Metazoa, Chordata, Actinopteri, Scatophagidae. The record is from RefSeq and is a predicted model, not a curated record.